Molecule: long non-coding RNA, 597 nt
Organism: Hemiscyllium ocellatum (epaulette shark)
Lineage: Eukaryota; Metazoa; Chordata; Chondrichthyes; Orectolobiformes; Hemiscylliidae
Exons: 2
Source: RefSeq, a predicted model, not a curated record
GGGGCAGCUUCCGGUGGGGGGGAAUGGAAUGGAAUGGUCUCCGAUUGAACAACAAAAAAAGAAAAGCCACCUUUUCGUUUCACGAAGGAAGCGGGAAGGAGGUGACUCCCGAAAGCGGCGAAGGGGGAGAUGGAAACCGGGGAGGCGAAGAACCGCAAGAGCAGACUGAAGUGAGAACUGCAGAUGCUGGAGAUUAGAGUCGAGAGGUGGUGCUGGAAAAGCACAGCAAGUCAGGCAGCAUCCGAGGAGCAGGAGAAUCGAGGUUUCGGCCAAAAGCCCUUCGUCAGGAGUGAGUCGGCCAUUCAGCCCCUCAAGCUUGCUCUGUCCCACGAUGAAAUCAUGGCCCGUCUGUCGUAGCCUCGACGCCCACUUUCCUGGGAGCGAACCCAAAGACAGCCCUUUAGAUUCCCUGAAAACUGCAGCAAAGGCUUUUGUCGGUAUCCAAUUCCUGAAGCCUGUGGUGAAUUGGCCUUCAUUUGACCCAGGCUUGGGGCUAGCAUGUAAUUUCACUGAAGGAGAUGGUGCAUGUGGACAGUUUUAAAAACAGGAUUCUAAUUAUGCUCAAUCUGUGAAUAAAUACUCCCCUAUCUUCCUGCA